UGAGUAACACGUAUCCAACCUGCCGUCUACUCUUGGACAGCCUUCUGAAAGGAAGAUUAAUACAAGAUGGCAUCAUGAGUCCGCAUGUUCACAUGAUUAAAGGUAUUCCGGUAGACGAUGGGGAUGCGUUCCAUUAGAUAGUAGGCGGGGUAACGGCCCACCUAGUCUUCGAUGGAUUGGGGUUCUGAGAGGAAGGUCCCCCACAUUGGAACUGAGACACGGUCCAA
Molecule: ribosomal RNA, 227 nt
Filed under: uncultured bacterium
Lineage: Bacteria
Description: partial 16S ribosomal RNA
Rfam family: Bacterial small subunit ribosomal RNA
Source: RNAcentral